AUUGAACGCUGGCGGCAGGCUUAACACAUGCAAGUCGAGCGGAGAGAGGUAGCUUGCUACUGAUCUUAGCGGCGGACGGGUGAGUAAUGCUUAGGAAUCUGCCUAUUAGUGGGGGACAACAUUUCGAAAGGAAUGCUAAUACCGCAUACGUCCUACGGGAGAAAGCAGGGGAUCUUCGGACAUUGCGCUAAUAGAUGAGCCUAAGUCGGAUUAGCUAGUUGGUGGGGUAAAGGCAUACCAAAGCGACGAUCUGUAGCGGGUCUGAGAGGAUGAUCCGCCACACUGGGACUGAGACACGGCCCAGACUCCUACGGGAGGCAGCAGUGGGGAAUGUUGGACAAUGGGCGGAAGCCUGAUCCAGCCAUGCCGCGUGUGUGAAGAAGGCCUUAUGGUUGUAAAGCACUUUAAGCGAGGAGGAGGCUACUUUAGUUAAUACCUAGAGAUAGUGGACGUUACUCGCAGAAUAAGCACCGGCUAACUCUGUGCCAGCCGCCGCCGUAA
This 501-nucleotide ribosomal RNA is filed under the name uncultured bacterium. RNAcentral's name for it is "partial 16S ribosomal RNA". It matches the Rfam family "Bacterial small subunit ribosomal RNA", at positions 30 to 523 of the family's 1533-position model. The record is from RNAcentral.